RNAcentral lists this ribosomal RNA (460 nucleotides) under uncultured bacterium. Its description in RNAcentral is "partial 16S ribosomal RNA". It matches the Rfam family "Bacterial small subunit ribosomal RNA", at positions 338 to 795 of the family's 1533-position model. The record is from RNAcentral.
CCUACGGGAGGCAGCAGUGAGGAAUAUUGGUCAAUGGCCGGAAGGCUGAACCAGCCAUGCCGCGUGAAGGUCAGUGCCCUAUGGGCGUUAAACUUCUUUUGUGCGGGAGCAAUAAUGGUCACGUGUGGCCAGACGAGAGUACCGUACGAAUAAGCAUCGGCUAACACCGUGCCAGCGGCCCCGGUAAUACGGGGGAUGCCAGCGUUUACCGGGUUUAAUGGGGUUAAAGGGUGCGGGGGCGGGGAGGUAAGGCCGCGGGGAAAUGCUCCCGCUCAACGGGGUGCAGUGCCGUUGAUACUGGCUUGCUGGAAUGCGGAUGCCGUAGGAGGAAUGUGUGGUGUAGCGGUGAAAUGCAUAGAUAUCACACAGAACACCGAUUGCGAAGGCAUCUCACGAAUCCUCGAUUGACGCUGAUGCACGAAAGCGUGGGUAUCAAACAGGAUUAGAUACCCCUGUAGUC